ACCUUGAUGCCAGAACUCAAGACUGAGC
Molecule: unclassified non-coding RNA, 28 nt
Filed under: Mus musculus (house mouse)
Lineage: Eukaryota; Metazoa; Chordata; Mammalia; Rodentia; Muridae
Description: oocyte_clustered_small_RNA13477
Source: RNAcentral